UAAAGGUCGGUUAGUCGGCCCUAGAAAGUAGAAACCUUGUAAUAUGUAAAGCCUCUGACUAUAAAAUUUUCUCCGCCUCGCUCGUACGCUGUAUUAGCAGUCGACCCAUCAACUCAAGAACAGCAAGAUCGAAGCAGAACAUCAAAGAAGAUGAAGUAAUGGUGAAAGUUGGGUGCUUUUCAAUGAUUUCCACCACUCACACCCCAGGGAUUGUGGAUUUGUGAUAUUUUGGUGGUUGUAGAUUUAUUAAUGUUAGGUUCGGUUUCUCUUAAGAAGUUCACUUAUCUUUGUAAUGCCAAAAGAUGAAUUCAUGGAUGUAAUAGGAUCUGGAUUGCCUUUCAGAACCAUUUGUCGCCAUGUACACCUACUGCAUUUGCAUCUAAUUUCAUCCUCGGGCAAUGAGGAGUUUUGAUGUUCUA
This is a long non-coding RNA of Ipomoea nil (Japanese morning glory), 419 nucleotides long. RefSeq lists it as uncharacterized. The transcript has 2 exons. NCBI's taxonomy places the organism in Eukaryota, Viridiplantae, Streptophyta, Magnoliopsida, Solanales, Convolvulaceae. The record is from RefSeq and is a predicted model, not a curated record.